GAUACUUAUAUCCAUUGUAUUUUGAAAUUUAAGGUUCUUUCUCACCAACCUGCGCGAUGAAAAAUAUUACCUCAAAUGAUUCUAAAUGGUUAAUAUAGUAGUUCAAGAUAUUCCCUGCGCAGUUUCUCAUUUCAUUAUUGUCUGAGUUUUAAUUCAACUAGAGCCUACGAAGAAUCAAAUGCACUGACUUUUGUCGUGCAUACUUGCUAGGUUAUAGUUAUCAUAGCAAUUGAGAAAACCCAAAGAAGAUGUUUUACAUGUGAAAUGACAUGCUUCCAUAAACAACCAAUAAGAUUAUUAAGAUCUGGGCAUUGUUUAUAUAGAUUGUUCUAUUUUGUUAAAUUUGAAUUUUGAGUAGAUUUUACAAAAGUGAAAUAAAGAGGUCUCCAUAAAGUUUAUGUUAGGACUUUCUGUGGGGAUGUAUCUCUUCUCAUAUCAUCGCGACUUUCACAUUGAUAGCAUUAUGUGUUCCUUUCACUUUGAACAAAUUUAUAUGAUUUUCAUUUGGUGAAUCUUCUCUUUUUCCUUGUAAUGAUUGAAUUUACAUUUCCCUUUCUGCCAAUGCAAUUGUUCGCAAUGUCUUUUAUACAAUGGAAAACAAGCUUCUUAUGGGUUUUAUCACAUCUCAGGCAUUAUAGAACUUGGGAGCCAAAUAAGAUUAAAUAGAAGAAUUCUCAAGUACGCCACAAACUGGAAGAACUGAUUGUUGGAUCCAAAAUUGUAAGUGUAAUAGCUAUUCUGAUUGUUGGAUCCAAAAUUGUAAGUAUAAUAGCUAUUCUUACUGGUAAAAGAAAGAGUGAGAAACUUGGUAUCAUUUGGUUCAGCUAGAGAUAGUUGGUCUGGAUAAUUCAAGCAUAGCUGCUACAAGGGUUGCUCUUGCUUGGAAUGCUUCAGUUUGGUAAAUGGUUAACAUGAAAAUUUGGGACCAAUACUAGAGUUGUUUGCAUGUUAUGGAGAUUUUCAAAGCUGAAGAGAGGAGAUUGAGUUUUUCAACUUUCCAUGCAAGUUUAGAGUUAGUCUUUAGCUGGAAUUCAUCCCCCAGGCAGUGCGGUAAUGGUUACAACCCAGGCGAGUAGCUGUGGUCGCGAAACAAGUUGCAGCUUUUAUAAAAGAAUUUUUAUCAGAGCCAGCCGUGGGAGUGCUCGAGUUACGGAGUUAGAUUGUCCUGGUGUCUGUCCUGUGGCCAAUAUCAAAGCGAUCAAAAGAAUAAAGAUCAUUUCUAUUCCAAGGUGGGGAGUUUGAUUUUCCCCAUCGACCUAUUGAUGGGCAAGCAAAAUUUCUGGAUUGCAAUCAUUGUAAGAAAAAUACAUUUCCUUAAGCUUUGAAUUGGUUGACUAGGUCACCAGAAUAUGUUAUUUUAGACAUUUUCUUGCCAGAUGAUGAAGUGGCUGUAACAUGGACAAGGCAAACACGUGUCUCCAAGUAGUUGGGCAUAUAAUGGCCACAAAUCGAUUUAGUAGUAUUGAUUCUUAUGGAGGUAGAAUAUUGUUCUUUGGAUUGCAGUGAUGUUGACAUAAUUUAGUCCUGAUAUAUUCUGUAACAAUUCAGUCGUUUAUUCACACUUGGUUCCCUAGGCA
Long non-coding RNA from Lycium barbarum (goji berry), 1577 nucleotides. RefSeq lists it as uncharacterized. The record is from RefSeq and is a predicted model, not a curated record. The transcript has 2 exons. NCBI's taxonomy places the organism in Eukaryota, Viridiplantae, Streptophyta, Magnoliopsida, Solanales, Solanaceae.